GACGAACGCUGGCGGCGUGCUUAACACAUGCAAGUCGAGCGGUAAGGCCCUUUCGGGGGUACGACGAGCGGCGAACGGGUGAGUAACACGUGGGUGACCUGCCCUCAGCUCUGGGAUAAGCCUGGGAAACCGGGUCUAAUACCGGAUAUGACUCCAUGACGCAUGUUGUGGGGUGGAAAGCCUUGUGCGGCUGAGGAUGGGCCCGCGGCCUAUCAGCUUGUUGGUGGGGUGAGGCCUACCAAGGCGACGACGGGUAGCCGGCCUGAGAGGGCGACCGGCCACACUGGGACUGAGACACGGCCCAGACUCCUACGGGAGGCAGCAGUGGGGAAUCUUGCGCAAUGGGCGAAAGCCUGACGCAGCGACGCCGCGUGGAGGGAUGA
RNAcentral lists this ribosomal RNA (383 nucleotides) under uncultured bacterium. Its description in RNAcentral is "bacterial SSU rRNA". It matches the Rfam family "Bacterial small subunit ribosomal RNA", at positions 28 to 411 of the family's 1533-position model. The record is from RNAcentral.